Molecule: long non-coding RNA, 293 nt
Organism: Ictalurus furcatus (blue catfish)
Lineage: Eukaryota; Metazoa; Chordata; Actinopteri; Siluriformes; Ictaluridae
Exons: 3
Source: RefSeq, a predicted model, not a curated record
CGCGAGGAACUCGGUGCGCUCUGAGGACUUGGAGAGAGGGAAAAAAAAAAAAAAAAAAAAAAAAGGAAAGGAAAGAAAACACCCCUACCUGACAAAUCAUCGAGGGAAAAAAGGGGGACAGGACUUCUUUGACGCGCUUCCACCUCUCCAGAAGCGUGCAGAAGCGCGCGGCUCGUGCUGUCCAUCCUGCUGUCGGUGAACUGUGUGUGUGCGGGAUUGUACAGGAGAUGGCCACACGCGCGCGCGCAGAGGCCCUUCACGCGACCCAGUUAAUAAUGUCAGUGAGGUGUUCA